RNAcentral lists this ribosomal RNA (473 nucleotides) under uncultured bacterium. Its description in RNAcentral is "bacterial SSU rRNA". It matches the Rfam family "Bacterial small subunit ribosomal RNA", at positions 791 to 1266 of the family's 1533-position model. The record is from RNAcentral.
UAGUCCACGCCGUAAACGAUGGAUACUAGUUGUUGGAUUUUCGGAUUCAGUGACUAAGCGAAAGUGAUAAGUAUCCCACCUGGGGAGUACGGUCGCAAGAUUGAAACUCAAAGGAAUUGACGGGGGCCCGCACAAGCGGUGGAGCAUGUGGUUUAAUUCGAUGAUACGCGAGGAACCUUACCAGGGCUUAAAUGUAAGUUGCAUAGAGUAGAGAUAUUCUUUUCUUCGGACUACUUACAAGGUGCUGCAUGGUUGUCGUCAGCUCGUGCCGUGAGGUGUCAGGUUAAGUCCUAUAACGAGCGCAACCCUUACCGUUAGUUGCCAGCAUGUCAAGAUGGGGACUCUAGCGGGACUGCCAGUGCAAACUGUGAGGAAGGUGGGGAUGACGUCAAAUCAUCAUGGGCCUUUAUGCCCAGGGGCUACACACGUGCUACAAUGGACGGUACAAAGAGUUGCUAAGCCGCGAGGGUAGA